AAGACGAUACGAAGUGAAAAUCGGCCUCGAUUUUAAUUUUGUUUGUCCACAGAUUGGUUCCAUACGUCACAAUGUAUGACGUCACCACACAUGACGUCACUAAAGAUCUGAACGUUUAGAUCCAAUCACAGCAUAUGUGGCUGUGUUUGAGGAGGAAUGGCGCGCAUGCGCACUGCGUUCUACCCAUUAGUUUGGGUUGUCGUCACUUCUAGCCCAGUGUAGGCGCGGUUUAGCCGUGCAUUUGGUCUUGCAGCAAGGCCAUAGUUCGCUCCUGUUCCUUUAACGUUAAUAUCCCUUUACCAUCUAACCCCCUUAUCCUAUUAACCGCGUUAGACACAUUCCCAGCACUGUCACACGAAUGUUUAGCUUGCCGUGGUAAAUCAGUUAACGAGUCAGUUUAGUUAUGACGACAUGAUGACGUCACGUUGACAAUGAACGAAACAAGAAGACGCCACAUGCCCAUAGGGGUACAGGGGAAUGUAACCGGGUCCUGCAGACGGAGAGGACGAAGGGGAGUGGAUGGAACACAAGCUUCAGAACCAGUACGGUACAAAUGGUAGUACUGGUACAAGGUGAUGUCCAACAUAGGCGGCCAUGGGCGCGUGGCAUUUUUUAGGGGCGUCGCACUUUGUUGUAUUAUUUUUGUCGCUGGUUACCCACCAUGUGGUCCCCCUUUUGGGUCCCAGAUGGUGGGGUACCAGUAACGCGCUAGGCUAAACAACGCACGCACGCACUCGCACGCACGCGCUCGCAAAUACGCGCCGGAAGAUUAAAGACGAAGAAUAAAAGCAGAGACAAAGACAAAACUCCAUCGUCCAAUCCAAGAAGCAAAGGUAUCCUACCCACACAGGGGGUUCAUUAAUUAACUUAA
Ciona intestinalis (vase tunicate) is the source of this 871-nucleotide non-coding RNA. Lineage: Eukaryota; Metazoa; Chordata; Ascidiacea; Phlebobranchia; Cionidae. The record is from RefSeq and is a predicted model, not a curated record.